RNAcentral lists this ribosomal RNA (250 nucleotides) under uncultured bacterium. Its description in RNAcentral is "partial 16S ribosomal RNA". It matches the Rfam family "Bacterial small subunit ribosomal RNA", at positions 527 to 776 of the family's 1533-position model. The record is from RNAcentral.
UACGGGUGCAGGCGUUAAUCGGAAUUACUGGGCGUAAAGCGUGCGCAGGCGGUUUGCUAAGACAGGUGUGAAAUCCCCGGGCUUAACCUGGGAACUGCGCUUGUUACUGGCAAGCUAGAGUGUGGCAGAGGGGGGUGGAAUUCCAGGUGUAGCAGUGAAAUGCGUAGAGAUCUGGAGGAACACCGAUGGCGAAGGCAGCCCCCUGGGCUAACACUGACGCUCAUGCACGAAAGCGUGGGGAGCAAACAGG